CAGAUUUGAUCCUGGCUCAGGAUGAACGCUAGCGGCAGGCUUAACACAUGCAAGUCGAGGGGCAGCGGGGGGUGUAGCAAUACACUGCCGGCGACCGGCGCACGGGUGCGUAACGCGUAUGCAACCUACCCAUAACAGGGGCAUAACACUGAGAAAUUGGUACUAAUUCCCCAUAACAUUCGAAGAGGCAUCUCUUUGGGUUGAAAACUCCGGUGGUUAUGGAUGGGCAUGCGUUGUAUUAGCUAGUUGGUGGGG
Molecule: ribosomal RNA, 255 nt
Filed under: uncultured bacterium
Lineage: Bacteria
Description: partial 16S ribosomal RNA
Rfam family: Bacterial small subunit ribosomal RNA
Source: RNAcentral